UUGCCUGGCAUGCAGUCAUGUGAUGGCCCUUAACAUAUUACCCCAGCAAAGGAUAGUUCUAAAAUGAAACAACAUAAGCACACUCAUUGGUAUCGUAUUAGACAGACGAUUCUGAUUUUUUUCCUUUAGAAGGUUAUCUGGCCUUUUGGUUGCAUUUCCUGGCCAAAGUUGGUCUUUGCACCAAUGGGACAACGGGUCACCUAGUAUGAUCAAAGACCGUGGGUGGGUGUCCUUUUGUUUCAGUUCUGCACAGAACCUUAGAAUAUAAAUCAUUUGCUAGUUGCUUGUUCUGGGAAUUAUAGUGGAAUCAAGACGCGGGUCGUUUGGAAAGAAAGAGCUAAGGCCAUGUCAUUUGAAAUUCAUCCAUUAAACCUCAUCUACAAGUGCAUUGCUGCUACUUUCCCCAUGCUCAUUUAUUACAUUUGUUUCAUGUUGUUUAGUUGGUGAGGCACUUGUGUAUAGCACUUAUGCAACCACGAUAUCAUUUCUCGAUUGAUAAAUAGUCUACACUUACAGUUGAGUGCAAAAGUAGCGUUUUACCGGUUAUGCAAGCACGUGGAGGAAAAACAUGAAAAUGUGUGCAGGUUUUUACUAGUUUAGAUGAUGAUAAUACUUGGAGCAGGAGAUAACGGGAAAUUGAGUUUGUGUCCUACAUGAAAUUUGACAGGUAUCACCAGUCUUCAACAUAGCCACACUACAAUGUUCAGAGAACUAUAUUGCAUCAGAAGGCAUAAGUGGCCAAGUCGGUGAACGACAACCUUUAGUUCUUGUGUAUGUGAUUAGAGCGGUCGAUGGCUCUCAUGUGUGUACACCAUUUGCGGGAAGGACGUAGUCAUCGACACCGUCGAGAUGACAUGAUCAACUACCUUAUAUGGAUUACACUGAUUGCGGACAUUAGCCCCUAUAACUAGGAAAUCACCGCAAAGAAAAUAUUGUUCCUUUUUGAAAAGGUCUAUGGGGAUCACUUUUCCCAAUGGUAAUAGGCCCGACUAUUCUAAGGUGACCAAUUUAAAGUGGGCAAAAACAUUUCGCUGUGGAUUGCAGUUCUAAUUUACUCUCAACGUCAUUUAGAGAGAGAGAAAAAUAUGUAGUUAGUCAAGUCGAAAAGGCUCAAGUCACAAAAAUCAACACUUUUGUCCACCUCAUAACCUAGAGCCAUUUUGUUUGUUGCAAAUUCACCGGAUUAAAUGACAUCAUCAUUCGUCGAAGUUGUACCAUGGUGGUUUAGUUGGUGUGUUUCAGUUGUGGCUCACGUCCUUGUCUUUGGGUUGAUCUAUAUAUAACCGCUACUUCCAACAUUGCAAAGUUCAUAACAAAAAGGAAAUCAUAAGGUAGUAGCAUAUCAGUUAUGAUUAAGCAAGUAUUCCUAAAAGCAGACACAAGUUUUCUCACAUGUUGAGACGACAAGAACAUAUUGUUAGAGUAGGAGGUAUGUCAAAAUUGAGUUUGUGACAAGUUUUUUGACAUGCUUGAAUGACAACAACAUAUUGUUACACAGUCCCUAUAAGUUAUCUUUGUUUCCGCAUCAAACUCCUACCAACCCUGAAUUUUAAAAGGCUCCACGUCCUACUUGCUUGUCAAUAUGGUGCUCAAAGCCCACACCUUUUUAUGUCACUAGAGAGUAUUAAUUAUGUUCAUUGAAUUUGACGUACUCACAAAUGGAAAUUAAAUCAAAAGGGAUGCAAUUCUAAUUAAGAGGACUAACAGCUGAACCUGUAUUGCAGGCCAUCAGAUCAUAUCAUAUGUAUGAUGUGUGCAUUUUCUUUUUUUAAACAAAGGGAAUAUAUUAAUAUUGCGCAGAUACCACUUACAGUCAGCCUCUGCAAUAGCGAAAUGUCCUAAGAAAAUUACGGAUGCACACAGCCUAAAAACAAAACGAAAGAUCCCGCUACAAUGAUCAAUUCCUAGUAACUGCAGCAAGGCAUGUAUGCAUUUUCUAGUGUCAAAUGCUUGUUGUAGCACACUUUUAGUGACCCUCACAACUUUAUAAUCAUCUCCUAGCUAGUGCAUUCGAGCAUAACUUGUUACAAACCUCUCUAUUAAAAAGUGUGGAAAAACUCCAUAUUCUGAUAGUCAUUCCAUCAGUCUGGUCUUGAACGGUGGAUCUGGAUCUCUCCAUCCAAUGAUCUCAAUUCUUCUUGCUUAUUUCCUGUUUUACGUUUCAACCUCCCGAGUAGUACUCCAGUUAUGGCUCACAUCAUAGUCGAGACCAUGCAUCUUCAUACAUCUACAUGUUCUAGCCAAUGUUCAGUGCCCAGUGCCCAUCCAUCAAGAAUACCCAAUGAAGGGCCAUCAACAGGAAGCAACCCCAAUUAAUAAUACCUACCGUGAAUUAAGACAUGUGGUCUGGACGUUGUGCUACAUCAAGAUAUGUUAAAUUCGAAAAUGCAUCGUGUUUUAAGUUUUUAAUUACAAGUCUCCUCUUUCUACACCCCCUCCUCCACUCCUCAACAUUUGAAUCCUAUAUUUCAUGCUCUGUUAAGUCAUGGUUUACAUGUCUUUAAGAUGUGUUUGAUUUCCUUCUACUCUCAUUCCGCACUCGUUCUCAGUAGGCUAACACACAAUAUUUUCACUUGUUCGCCACAUGGCAUUCGAAACCUUGAGAGAUCGCCUAUUUUUAUCAUCCAUCGAUCAAAAAAAAGUAGACCAAAUGUUCAUGUAUCUAAAUGCAUAGUUGCCUUACGUUCUUGAUGCUUAGGAGGCACAGUGAAUUUCACAACAUCUAGAAGUCAAAAAGGAUCAAGUAUCUGCGAAUGUAGUGCUCUCGCAUUCAUGAAACAGUAACAACGGGUAAAGAGAACUGCGACCCCCGCAUUGCCCCCGCUCGGGCCAUCUGACUUCGGACCAGCGAUGGCGGUGUGGAGUGCCUUGUGGACAGGCCGGUGGCAUGCGUGGUCCUGCCUCUGCUCUGAUCUGAUCUAGCCGGUGUGGCCUACGUGCUGCACGGUGGCAAAGAUCGGUGGCAACCUAUGCACACGAUGCUAGAUGGAGGUUCAUCGAGCAGAUCCGAGUGAAAAGCUUGCUCUCGGCUAGUUGCCAAGGCCGGCAUGGCGGCGCUCUUCUGUGUUGUCCCCUUCUUGAAGGCAUCGCCGUCGAGAAUUUCCAGACCUCUGUCCGCUACAUCCGGGGGAAACCCUACAUCAGUCGAUCAGAUGACGUCGGCACUCUUGUGUCAUUCCUCCCAUGGGGGCAUCAUUCUUGGAGUUGUGCAUUGGCUCGAGGGACCAGUGGACAAUUUCAACGGCUGAGCGGCGUUUCAUGUGACGCAUCAACGACGUGGUGACUCGGCGGCGUGGCGCCGUAGGGUCUCAGUGAAGGAUGCGUGAUGAUGGAUGUGCGUAGGGAGGUGGCGUUGUCUAGCACCGUGGUGGUGUCGACGGCAAGCCUGGCAACGUCAAUGCAUCGGUACUUGCUCUGAAGAUGGAUCGAUGAAAGAAGGUGGCAGCGGCCUCUACAGCGUGUGCCCGCUAAGAGUGUGUUGGACCGGUAUCUGCCCCGGACCCUGCGAUUGCAACUUGGUUGAGUUCUCCGGUUUUAGAUGUUAGGUUUUGGUGUGAGGUUUGGGCUGGCGGCCCCGAUAAUACACACCCCUUCAUCAAGUUGAUGGGAGUAACGUCGGAUGAUGCCAAGAUGAUGGCUUUAGAUUUAUUGAUGUAUUGCUUUGUAAAGUCUUGAUGAAUAAGUAAUAAAAUGGUUGCAUGCAUCGCCUGAUGCAGGCAGAGGCCCGGGGUCGUUCUCCUUUUCGAAGAAAAAAAUCUACGAAUGUAGAUCUUAAAUCAAAAUGCAGUAUCAACCACCGCACUAGUGCAAUCAUGCUGGAUCAAAGUUUGGUCAUUGACUAUCAUCACGGAAAUGGAUACUAACAAAAUUUGGUAGAGCUUUUCACACAUAUGUACCGCCUAUGAUUUUAUUGUUGAAAAUAAAUAAUUACGUUCAACCAUUGUGGACUUAAUAAGAUAGAAUUAAAUCAUUAAGCUUAACCUUUUCUUUAAGGGAAGCAUCAUUACUACCAGCCUCUGCAGCAAGGAAUGAUCCGGACAACCACCACAGAUAAAUCAGCCAAACACAAAUUAGUCGCAACUAGUAUAUCCAAAGGCUCUAGUUUUCUUUCUAUUUUUCAUAACUAAAAACGCAACACAACUCAAACAGGUCUCCCAAUAAUCUGCUCAAUUUUCUUCCUACGUAGGGUCAGUAGCCCUCCUUUAAUUAGGGCCUCGAUUUGCCACCACCAGCUCUCGUUCAAGUUGGUUGUGCUAUCUGGAAUCUACAUUUGUCUGUGUCUAUUGUACAUGCCAUCCGACAUGUAAAGAUAGUUAGGCAUUGUAUAGCAACUUGCAUAAGUACGUGACCCGGCCUCCCUUCUUGCACCCUCCAAGAGCUGUGAAGCACCCAAAUGUUCAUAGCCGACCCAUCUACGAUCUCCGGUUAGUAUCCUUAUCCAUGAAAUGCAAAUUUGGUUUCUUUUACGCUUUAAACUUUCAGUGUACCACACCUUGUCAUACUCGUCCAUGGGAGUGUAUUGGGCAUGAUGGAUAUGGGUUGAUGGCCUGUGGGACAGGGCCGAUGACUUGCCUCCGCUAGCUAAAAUGAAAGCAGCUUCUGCUAAGUGAGACAUCGAACAGAAAGGAAUUGAACAUGUCUUGUUCCUCUGCCCUUCCGUACUACUCUGAAUCCUUUGCUUUUCGGUGGCUGCUCUCCACAAACAACAAGUGUCCCUCGGUGGCAGCUCUUCACAAGAUGUAUUUAUAUCAUCGACAUUUUGUUCGACGAUGCCGUGGCCUGAGGCUAUGACACAUCUCUCUCCAUCCCCAUCGUUGUUUUGGUACCCAUUGACACAGAUAUUUGCCCCUGCCUUUUAAGAUCCACUUGCAUCCCAUAUCCUUAAAAGGAGCCUCUUUCCUUAUUCCCACUCAUUCCACACAUGUACCAUUCAAAAUUAUCACCUUGCAUGUGGCGGGGGUUCAGCACCUAUGGUUUUAUGAUCUUCUUGAUCCUACUUGCCACCCGUGAUGUUAUAAAAUACCAUGAUGAAUAAUUUGUGUAUGUGCUCGGACUCCUAGGAAUAGGAGGAAUGGGGAAGCUCACUAUAUCCAUGCCACUUAGUAUAUCGUGAGUCAAAGAAUGAAGAUCUAUGAGCUAGCGUGUAGAAGUUUGCUCUUUAUUCUAUGCUCGAAAGGAAUUAUAAAAAUGGUCUCGACGAAGAUCUGUGAAAUGUACGAAGUUCCAGUAUGUGGAAAUAUAAGAAAUAUAUUGCUUACAAAGUUUUGAACGUCGGUACUCAAUCAAUAUUUGACUUAUGUGAUACAAAAUGACAAUAUUAGGUAAAUAUUUGUAAACAAGAAACUAUUGGCAAUAAUUUUACAGCAUGCUACUCCCUCCGGUCACGAAUAUAAGACGUAUUGGAUACUACAAUAUGGACUACCACAUGCAAACUGAAAUUAGUGAACAAACGCACUGACACAUGUCGAUAUACAUCCGAUUCAGACAAAAGUUAAAACAAAUAAAGCCCAACUGUUUAUAAGUGUAUACGUGUACACAAAUACUAUAUACAUGUACACAUCUGAGCUUCGACGUCACUGACUUCGAUUGCACGCAAUAUGGUCGAGAGUAGUGUAGAUACUAUUUUGCAGGCACGCAUCUUUUCUAUCAACGUCACUCAUGCUCUGUGUUCGAAAAACCCCGGCGAGAUCAUUUCUCAAUAGAAGCAAGUUGCUGAAAGCAAACUCAGCGACAUCGACGUAGCCUAAACUAUUGCCACAAACCUUGUCGACAGGCCGUAUAACUUCUUCGCAGCCUACGCGUGAUGAUUUUGACUGACACGCUCUUCUGUGUGAUCGCGACUGUACCUGUACGCAGCACCGCCCAGCUAACUCAUUCAGUGCAUCUAGUUUCUCCGGCGCUACUAUAUGUCUGUGUGUGUGAGAGAGAGAGAGGGGCUUUGUGAGCUGUUAGUUGUCCAGUACAUUUGUAUCUUUCCGUGUUGUUUUCAACAUUGCUAAUUCAAGACCUGUCUCGUCUCGAAAUUUCUCUCUAGAAUGAUCCAUAUAUGUAAAUAGUCGUGCACUAGCUAGUAGCUAGGCACACAGUGAUGCUUAGAUCAGAUAGCUUUGACGAUGUUUCGCCAACCCUUGGUUUCUUCUCGCUAAUUAAUUUGGUUCAGUGGAGCAACCGGUAGGUAUAUACCAACUACAAAUUCCUCUCCGUCGUUAGUGCAGUGACAGAUAUGUUCCUUUUUCUUAGCCAGCAAGGAUAUAUCUGAUUUUUUAAAUAAUUACCGCCAAGAAAAUAUCGGAUAUGUUGGCAAAAAAAAAUCUUCUAUGAAACCAUUAAGUAUGACACUUCGCGCUGGAUCAAAGUUUGGUCGUUGACUAUCAUCAAGGAAAUGAAUUAUAACAAAAUCUUGUAGAGCAUUUCAGACAUAUGUAACACCUUUUCUUUUCCUUUUUAACAUAAACAAUUAUGUUCAACCAUUUUGUAGCUAAUAAGGGAGAAUUAAAUCAUAAAACACAAAUUAAGGUUAACCUUUUCUUUAGAAAGGAAAGCAUCAUUACUACUCGUCUCUGCAGCAAGGAAUGAUCUGGAUAACCACGGUACAAAUAAAUCAGCAAAACAUAAAUUAGUCGCAGCUUGGUGUUACCGUUUUACGAAUGAUUUUGAGAAAAAAUCAUUUGGAUAGCUCACCUGGCUUCUUGGCGAGUGGCUAGCUCCACGGCUUAUUGGGUUAUUGGCGUGCACCAAGCUGGGUUAUGCCGGGCACCACUCCUGCUCUGUUACCACGUUGGUGGGUGAAUGUUGCUUUCCAGAUUAAGGUUUGGACCACUUUUGUUGUGUUAUCGGUGGCCGGUUAGGUAGGCUUGGGGAGGCUGGUUCUCGGAUUGUUCGGGUCAAAGCCCUGUUGCUCAGUUCGUCCAUUUUGGUGUUGCCUAGCAUGCAGUCAUGCGAUGGCCCUAACCUAUUACCCUAGCAAAGGAUAGUUCUAAAAUGAAACAACAUGAGCACACUCAUUGGUAUCGUAUUACGUAGAUAAUUCUGAUUUUUUUUCCUUUAGAUGGUUAUCUGGCCUUUUGGUUGCAUUUCCUGGCCAAAGUUGGUCUUUGCGCCAAUGACACAACGGGUCACCUGGUAUGAUCAAAGACCGUGGGUGGGUGUCCUUUUGUGUCAGUUCUGCGCACAACCUUAGAAUAUAAAUUAUUUGUUAGUUGCUUGUUCUAGGAAUUAUAGUGGAAUCAAGACGUGGGGUCGUUUGGAAAGAAAGAGAUAAGGCCAUGUCGUUUGAAAUUCAUCCAUUAAACCUCAUCUGCAAGUGCAUUGGUGCUAUUUUCCCCACACUCAUUUAUUACAUUUGUUCCAUGUUGUUUAGUUGGUGAGGCACUUGCGCAUAGCACUUAUGGAACCACGAUAUCAUUUCUCGAUUGAUAAAUAGUCUACACUUACG
Molecule: long non-coding RNA, 7435 nt
Filed under: Triticum aestivum (bread wheat)
Lineage: Eukaryota; Viridiplantae; Streptophyta; Magnoliopsida; Poales; Poaceae
Description: long non-coding RNA (TAES_LNC018354)
Source: RNAcentral